Molecule: non-coding RNA, 233 nt
Organism: Pelobates cultripes (western spadefoot toad)
Lineage: Eukaryota; Metazoa; Chordata; Amphibia; Anura; Pelobatidae
Source: the annotation of a GenBank genome assembly
GUUUAUUGUUCUUAUAUACACAUUCUUACACAUUAGUACCACCCACAGGGUUUUGUAAAACAACCAAUAAACACAUACAAUACACUCAGACACUCCCACACAAAAUCCUCCCCUCUGCCUGUGAUACAAUUACCUUACACAAUGGGUUAAUGUAAUUAUCACAGGCAGGAAAAUACACAGUUUUAUACACUAUUCAUAACUUUAAAAGUAUUCAUCACAUUCACACAAAACUU